AUUGAACGCUGGCGGCAUGCUUUACACAUGCAAGUCGAACGGUAACAGGCCGCAAGGUGCUGACGAGUGGCGAACGGGUGCGUAAUGCAUCGGAACGUGCCCAGUCGUGGGGGAUAACUACUCGAAAGAGUAGCUAAUACCGCAUACGAUCUAUGGAUGACAGCGGGGGACCGUAAGGCCUCGCGCGAUUGGAGCGGCCGAUGUCGGAUUAGGUAGUUGGUGGGGUAAAGGCUCACCAAGCCCACGAUCUGUAGCUGGUCUGAGAGGACGACCAGCCACACUGGGACUGAGACACGGCCCAGACUCCUACGGGAGGCAGCAGUGGGGAAUUUUGGACAAUGGGCGCAAGCCUGAUCCAGCAAUGCCGCGUGCAGGAAGAAGGCCUUCGGGUUGUAAACUGCUUUUGUACGGAACGAAACGGCUCUGGUUAAUACCCGGGGCUAAUGACGGUACCGUAAGAAUAAGCACCGGCUAACUACGUG
RNAcentral lists this ribosomal RNA (482 nucleotides) under uncultured bacterium. RNAcentral describes it as "partial 16S ribosomal RNA". It matches the Rfam family "Bacterial small subunit ribosomal RNA", at positions 30 to 507 of the family's 1533-position model. The record is from RNAcentral.